AACGCACCUUGCGCCUCUUGGUAUUCCGAGAGGCAUGCCUGUUUGAGUGUCAUUAAAUUCUCAACUUCAAAAGCUUUUGUCUUUUUGAAGCUUGGAUGUGAAGGCUUGCUGGCGUUUUAAAUGUUCAGCUCCUUUGAAAAGUAUUAGUGGACCCGUUUGUGGUUCAUCCUUAGUGUGAUAAUUAUCUACGCUAUGGCUUUGAAUGCAUGCUCAUUAGAAUCUUCGAGCUGUUUUACUACAGUCUCGGUGUGGAGAGUUGCAUGAAUUUUGCUCUUUCUGUCUCUUGAGUCAGGAUUGUCUGCUUCAAACCGUCUACAUUGUAGACAAUUUUGAACCAUUUGACCUCAAAUCAGGUAGGAUUACCCGCUGAACUUAA
RNAcentral lists this unclassified non-coding RNA (376 nucleotides) under uncultured fungus. Its description in RNAcentral is "sequence contains ITS2". The stretch from base 1 to 52 matches the Rfam family "5.8S ribosomal RNA", at positions 103 to 154 of the family's 154-position model. Lineage: Eukaryota; Fungi. The record is from RNAcentral.